GAUCAUGGCUCAGGAUGAACGCUAGCGGCAGGCUUAACACAUGCAAGUCGAGGGGCAGCGACGAGGUAGCAAUACUUUGGUGGCGACCGGCGCGACGGGUGCGUAACGCGUAUGCAACCUACCUUAACAGGGCAUAACACUGAGAAAUUGGUACUAAUUCCCCAUAACAUUCGAGAAGGCAUCUUCUUGGGUUAAAAACUCCGGUGGUUAAAGAUGGGCAUGCGUUGUAUUAGCUAGUUGGUGAGGUAACGG
This 252-nucleotide ribosomal RNA is filed under the name uncultured bacterium. RNAcentral describes it as "partial 16S ribosomal RNA". It matches the Rfam family "Bacterial small subunit ribosomal RNA", at positions 15 to 263 of the family's 1533-position model. The record is from RNAcentral.